UUGGGGUCACCACAACAUGAGGAAGUGUACUAGAGGGCGCAGCAUUAGAAGAUGGAGAGGCAUUGUUGUAAAUAGAAAGUAGCAGGUCUCGGCUCUCCUCACACAGACAGACCUUGAAGCAGCUGUGUGGCAGGCACACAUCAUUGUGUAGCCUGGUGAGAGGUGAUAGCAUGCAAGUCAGACUUGUUACUCUCCGUGUGCUCUAUAACAUGUUGCUGUGUGGACUUUAGAGCCAAAAGCAAGAACUGGCACAAGAAGAAGGAAUAAGCCAGGCGUUGAGAGAGGAGGCCCAGCGGAGGGAGACAGCCCUGCAGCAGAUGCGCACAGCCGUGAAGGAGCUCUCAGUGCAAAAUCAGGACCUGAUUGAGAAGAAUCUGACACUGCAAGAGCACUUGCGCCAGGCCCAGCCAGGGUCCUCGUCAGGGUCCCCAGACGCCGCCCAGCUGGCAUAUGAGCUGCACCAGGAACUGGCCAGUUGCCUUCAAGACCUGCAAGCUGUCUGCAGCAUUGUGACCCAGAGGGCCCAGGGCCACAGUCCUAACCUCUCUCUGCUCCUAGGCAUUCACUGUGAGUCCUCAGAAGGGCCUCGGCUCCCUCACCCUCCAAUGUGGCUGUUCUUAGGGUAACAUGAACCAGGUGCAUAGGCCUGGCCACUGCCUUGUGGGAGUUGUCAAAGUGAGUGCACUGUAAGCGGUUCACAAACAGGCCUCCCUAGAGAGCACUUACAUGGAGGACAGACAGAAAUCCUGCCUCAGGCAACCAAUUAUCCCGGUUUGUUCUGUGAAAGUGUCAUGUCCUUAAAAAACAAAAACAAAAACAAAAAACAAAAAAACAAAA
RNAcentral lists this long non-coding RNA (837 nucleotides) under Rattus norvegicus (Norway rat). RNAcentral describes it as "long non-coding RNA NONRATT023702". Lineage: Eukaryota; Metazoa; Chordata; Mammalia; Rodentia; Muridae. The record is from RNAcentral.